CUGACUGCUAUCGGAUUGGUACUAAGCCAUGCGAGUCAUUGUAGCAAUACAAGGCGGACGGCUCAGUAACACGUAGUCAACCUAACUCGUGGACGUGGAUAACCUCGGGAAACUGAGAAUAAACCACGAUAGAUCAUAGUGCCUGGAAUGGCUUAUGGUCCAAACAGUUUACUGCCAUGGGAUGGGACUGCGGCCUAUCAGCUUGUUGGUGAGGUAAUGGCCCACCAAGGCGAUUACAGGUACGGGCUCUGAGAGGAGUAGCCCGGAGAUGGGUACUGAGACACGGACCCAGGCCCUAUGGGGCGCAGCAGGCGAGAAACCUUAGCAAUGUGCGAAAGCACGACUGGGUCAGUCCGAGUGAUUCCUGAUAAAGGAGUCUUUUGCCUGUCCUAAAAGCACAGGUGAAUAAGGGGUGGGCAAGUCUGGUGUCAGCCGCCGCGGUAAUACCAGCACCUCGAGUGGUCAGGACGUUUAUUGGGCCUAAAGCAUCCGUAGCCGGCUCUGCAAGUCUUCGGUUAAAUCCACCUGCUCAACAGGUGGGCCGCUGGAGAUACUACAGAGCUAGGGAGUGGGAGAGGCAGACGGUAUUCAGUGGGUAGGGGUAAAAUCCUCUGAUCCAUUGAGGACCACCAGUGGCGAAGGCGGUCUGCCAGAACACGUUCGACGGUGAGGGAUGAAAGCUGGGGGAGCAAACCGGAUUAGAUACCCGGGUAGUCCCAGCUGUAAACGAUGCAAACUCGGUGAUGCAUUGGCUUAUGGCCAAUGCAGUGCCGCAGGGAAGCCGUUAAGUUUGCCGCCUGGGAAGUACGGACGCAAGUCUGAAACUUAAAGGAAUGGCGGGGGAGCAC
This 848-nucleotide ribosomal RNA is filed under the name uncultured archaeon. RNAcentral describes it as "bacterial SSU rRNA". It matches the Rfam family "Archaeal small subunit ribosomal RNA", at positions 23 to 879 of the family's 1478-position model. The record is from RNAcentral.